CAGAGGAGGAAACUAAAGCUCAGAGUUUAAGCAACGAGCUUAAAGGAUACCAACUAGGAAGCAGUAAAUCUAGGACAGGGACCCAGAUGGUCAAAUUCCAAGGUCAUCGUUGUCUCUGGGAUGUCGUGUCCCUCACUCCAGGCCCUAGGGACCCAGAAAAGCCCCACCAGGACUCAGACAGUGGGCUGAGGCCUUCCCAGCCAGCACAGCUGUGUAUCUGUGGCCCAAAGGGCCCAGAGGCCCACCACGCUUCUGCCCUUCACAGCAGCGCCGGUUCAUCGAGAAGGUCAGAAAAGUGAAGUCAUUCUCUAGUGUGCCUGAGAUCUCAGGGCAGACCUUGCCUGAGGCUAGACAAGGCUGAAUCUCUUUCCUCCUGCUCAACCCCAUGAUGUUCUUUGAAGAGCUGUGAGGAACAGGGAAUGGCUAUCUUGGUGGGGACAACGGGUGGAAGCAGCAGCAAGCAGAUGGGACAAAAUGUAGAGAAGGAUCAGUAUGAAGAUGAACUCUCCAGCCUGGUCAGGGGUUGUGAUCGGCUGCUUUACAAAAAGAUUUUUUCCACCUUUCCUUGAGAAACAAAUGCAUGCCUCAUGCAGCAGAUCAAGGUGGUGACUGUAUUUGCCAGCGUACCAGACACACAACUGCGUAAGGGAAAAGGAAUUUCUCCUGGAGCUGAUAAUUUCCAACAUGUUCAGCAACAUUUGUCUCUUGGGCUUCUGAAUAAGACCAGGAGGCAUAUGGGAUCUUAGCACGCUGACCAGGGAUCCAAACUGCACUGGAAGUUUCAACCACUGGACUGCCAGAGAAGUUCAUAAAAUGGGGGAUCUUCGCAGAGACAACAGCUCACAGCCUGCGGAUGGCGCCCCAGAUGCUCUCCUGGGCCAUCUGACUGUCCACUGGGACCCGUGGGGAGGAAGGAGGAUGAUCCCAUCCCAGAGGGCAGAAUCGGGGCACUUGAUACCUUUCCUUGUGCCUUCACAUAUACCGUUUCAUUCACUAGCCUAAGAAACAAACAUAGCUACCACCUUGGAAAAUAGCAACUCCGGGGGAAAUUCCUGUUCCCUUAGCCAGCAGUGGUCCAGUGAGCAAAGAAAGCCCAGUGACAAGCAUCCACUUGGGAAACUCUAGGUCCUGGGAGUUCCUCACCAAGAUGCCUUUCCUGGGAGAGAACCCCAUUCAGUCCAAAGAACUCCAACUCUGUUAGAAAUGUAAUCGACAGCAUUUACCAUCAAGCCAGAUCACUGAACCAGUUUGGACCAAGACAGCCUAGACUCAGCUGGAAUUGCAGAAUUCCCCAACAGACCCUGUUAGAACCCAGUGAAGGUGGCCCCUUAUUGUUUUUCUCAAUUAAAAAAAAAAAAAAAAAAAACAACCAAAACUAAGAAGCUUUCUGCAUGCUUUUAAGGCAUUUACAGCUGCCCAGAGAAGCAGGACUACUUAUGACUCCACUUAAUAAGCACCUGGCAAUCACCAACCUCUCUAAUUGCCAUGUGGGUGAAGAGGUGGGAAUUCAAACAAACGAAGGAGAUUUCGAAGUGUUACUGGAAGAUGAAAAAUGUGACGGAAGCGCCUAGGCAUGAGAGGCAAGCAGAGACACAUGCUUCUCUCAGGGCAGCAUAACCCAGAAAGCCGACUGAAGCUGAUGUGAACAUUCCCAGCAUCUGCCUCCUGGACACUUACACCGAAAAGAGCCGCAUCAACUGCUCAGAAAAAUGCAGGUACCACUGAGACACCCCAGGUACCAUGGCCUGUGUUGUUUCCUCAGGCAAAAGUUGUUGCUGGGAGACCCAGUGCCAAGAGUUUUGAAUGUCCGGUUCCUCACACCCCAGGCCUUCUCAAAAGGGAAAGGAGAUAAAACAUGGGGGUUCCCACAGCACUAUCAAUACCCUCCCCCUUUACAGAGAGGAAACUCUGGUUCAGAGAGAUUACAAGUAGAGAGGCAGGGCUAGGAUUCAGAGUGCCCGUAACUCUCACAGUCCAGAGCUCUUGGGUCCUCCAAGGAACGAGGCCUUCACUCUGGGCUCCUCUUCCGCAGGUUAGGAGUGGUAACUCAGUGCCUAACAUUCAGCUGCUGCCGACCAUCCUGACUGCUAACUACUCACACGUGUGCCUCCCUAGAGCACCCAGGACAGACACUCUCAUUUACCCCCGGCUUCCUGGGCAGGGUCCAGCUGACACUUCUCAGUGUUCCACACCCACCAACCUGUGUCUAUUCAAAAAGGACGUCGGGAUGUGAUUGUCCCACUUAUGUACAUGCCUUGGUUGUUUCCAGAGGCCUGCGUAUGACCUCAUGCAACCACCUGGACCCUCUGAGCAAUACCUUAAAUUGGCUUUUUGAAGAUUCUCAAGUCCCCAGAGUCAAUUUUAUUGAAACAAAAUACAAAGUGCCCCCAGGAAGGGACAGCCCUGUGAACUGUUAGUGGCUAGCAUUUGGCAGUACGUGGCAGCUAGCUGAGAAUCAGGCCCUAAGAAGUGGGAAAUGGGACUGGGAGGGGUUGGAGAGGGUAAAGAGAAAGAAGCAUGAGAAAGGAGG
Long non-coding RNA from Bos taurus (domestic cattle), 2530 nucleotides. NCBI's taxonomy places the organism in Eukaryota, Metazoa, Chordata, Mammalia, Artiodactyla, Bovidae. The record is from Ensembl.